Long non-coding RNA from Cyprinus carpio (common carp), 1548 nucleotides. The record is from Ensembl. Lineage: Eukaryota; Metazoa; Chordata; Actinopteri; Cypriniformes; Cyprinidae.
UGUUUGGUCUGCAGACUCUGGUGAGACAUUGUUUUCUUAGAUAAAAUGAAGUCAACUAAUCAGAAAUAACCUUUUUUUUCCCAUGGAUUUUCAAUUUUCAUUACAAUAAUAGUAUGUAGUAAUAUAAAAAUAACAAUAAUCAUAAUAAUCCACACUCCAUUUAAGAACAUAGAAUGAAAAGGAAAGGGAAAAAUACAAACAGGUAAACAAAAGACACCUCAAUCUGUAAGAAAAAUGAAACCGAUAGUCCUUCAGAAAUUUGUUAUUCUUUUUAUUUAUGAGUUUAAGAGAGUUUGCAGAAAUCUGGACAAGACAGGCAAAGUAAGCAAAAUAAAAUAAAUUCCGAUCCAAACCAAAAAAAAAAAUUUGUUCAAUGUAUGGUUACUGCUAGAAAAAUAAAGAAAUAUAUACGUCAGCAAAAAAUGUUAAUCACAUUAAAGGAGAUAAAAAGCAACUUAAAUUCUCCCAAAGGUAAUGUACUCUGUCUGAUUGCAAUGAUAAAAUAAAUGAAAACAAGCUUCUUCCUUAAUUUUAUAGAAUACACAAGUUAUUUUAAGUUGGAAUGUAUUUUUGUUUUUUUUAAUUGUAUGAAUAUGAAUUUGUUUGGCAUUGACUACUUUAUGAUUCAUGUUUUUUUGUGUGUGUUUUUUUAAGGUUAUCAUGUGGAUGUUAUGGAAUGACCAGAGCACUGCUAAAAUAUCUGACAAGAUUGAAAACUUUUUUCCUAAAAGCCUCCCAGAGUAUCACAAAUGUAGCCGCAGGAACAUGGAGCUGAUGCAGAAAAACCGGGAAGAUUUCAAGUCCUUUGCUCAUGUUCUGGCCAGAGACAGGGAUAUGCGUGAGACUUACAUUCGGGAUUUAAUGGAAGAGCAAUAUGGUGAAUGCUAUGCACAGAAACUGGAGGAGAGACUUUCACACUAUUUGGGAGAGCUAGAUAAAAUCCUGCCACAACCUACGUGUAUUGAACAGUUACUGAAGCAGUCCUAUUCAUAUGGGAGGGGAGAGAAGAUCCUGAAAAAAAUACUUUCAAUUAAAAGUGCCUCUCUAGCCUCAGCUCUGAAAAGACUCCUAAAUUGCGCUGUAACAACAAAUCUAAGCCUUGACGACAGUCUCACACCAUCGCUUUCAAACACUUGUGAGGAGCAAAGGGAUGCUGAAGUUGUUAAACCAUCCCAUGGUACCCUCCGUGUAUUUUUGAGGUCAUCUCAGAACAGCACAAAAGAGGAUGGAAUCUCACAAACCAGCUCAAAAGAGCUCUUUUGUUCUCAGGGCUUGUGGCAAAAUAGAAACACAGAAACCAUUUUACCUCAAGUGAAGAUUUGUGGGGAUGGAGUAAUCGUUACCUCUACGCAGUUGUCAGAUUCUGAAAUAGAUCAGACUGACUUCAGCCAGUCUCUACAGGUGGAGAAGGACCUGCUUGGGAGGCAAAGACAGGCGAAGACUCAAUCUGAACCAGAACAGAAGGAAAGAGAGACGGAUUUCAAAGAGCAGAUGUGCUCCAGGCAUGGCAAAAAAAUGAGGAGCAUCCUUCAGGAAUGUUCUGAAGAG